AGCAUAGCAUAGCAUAGCAUAGCAUAGCAUAGCAUAGCAUAGUAUAGUAACACAGUACAGUAUAGUUGGUAUAGUAUAGUGUAGCACAGUACAGUAUAGUUAGUAUACUACAAGUACA
Molecule: microRNA precursor, 118 nt
Filed under: Chlorocebus sabaeus (green monkey)
Lineage: Eukaryota; Metazoa; Chordata; Mammalia; Primates; Cercopithecidae
Description: miRNA (ENSCSAG00000026886.1)
Source: RNAcentral